UGGGGAAUUUUGGACAAUGGGCGAAAGCCUGAUCCAGCCAUGCCGCGUGAGUGAAGAAGGCCUUCGGGUUGUAAAGCUCUUUUAGUCGGAAAGAAAGAGUUGCAAUGAAUAAUUGUGAUUUAUGACGGUACCGACAGAAAAAGCACCGGCUAACUACGUGCCAGCAGCCGCGGUAAUACGUAGGGUGCGAGCGUUAAUCGGAAUUACUGGGCGUAAAGGGUGCGCAGGCGGUCUUGCAAGUCAGAUGUGAAAGCCCCGGGCUUAACCUGGGAAUUGCGUUUGAAACUACAAGACUAGAGUGCAGCAGAGGGGAGUGGAAUUCCAUGUGUAGCAGUGAAAUGCGUAGAGAUGUGGAAGAACACCGAUGGCGAAGGCAGCUCCCUGGGUUGACACUGACGCUCAUGCACGAAAGCGUGGGGAGCAAACA
This 427-nucleotide ribosomal RNA is filed under the name uncultured bacterium. RNAcentral describes it as "bacterial SSU rRNA". It matches the Rfam family "Bacterial small subunit ribosomal RNA", at positions 355 to 774 of the family's 1533-position model. RNAcentral also lists the same sequence under 1 other name. The record is from RNAcentral.